GAUGAACGCUGGCGGCGUGCCUAAUACAUGCAAGUCGAGCGAACGGACGAGAAGCUUGCUUCUCUGAUGUUAGCGGCGGACGGGUGAGUAACACGUGGAUAACCUACCUAUAAGACUGGGAUAACUUCGGGAAACCGGAGCUAAUACCGGAUGAUAUUUUGAACCGCAUGGUUCAAAAGUGAAAGACGGUCUUGCUGUCACUUAUAGAUGGAUCCGCGCUGCAUUAGCUAGUUGGUAAGGUAACGGCCUACCAAGGCAACGAUGCAUAGCCGACCUGAGAGGGUGAUCGGCCACACGGGAACUGAGCCACGCUCCAGACUCCUACGGGAGGCAGCAGUAGGGAAUCUUCCGCAAUGGGCGAAAGCCUGACGGAGCAACGCGGCGUGAGUGAUGAGGGUCUUCGGAUCGUAAAACUCUGUUAUUAGGGAAGAACAUAUGUGUAAGUAACUGUGCACAUCUUGACGGUACCUAAUCAGAAAGCCACGGCUAACUACGUG
Molecule: ribosomal RNA, 497 nt
Filed under: uncultured bacterium
Lineage: Bacteria
Description: partial 16S ribosomal RNA
Rfam family: Bacterial small subunit ribosomal RNA
Source: RNAcentral